ACUCCUACGGGAGGCAGCAGUGGGGAAUAUUGGACAAUGGGCGAAAGCCUGAUCCAGCCAUGCCGCGUGUGUGAAGAAGGUCUUCGGAUUGUAAAGCACUUUAAGUUGGGAGGAAGGGCAGUUGCCCUAAUACGUGAUUGUUUUGACGUUACCGACAGAAUAAGCACCGGCUAACUCUGUGCCAGCAGCCGCGGUAAUACAGAGGGUGCAAGCGUUAAUCGGAAUUACUGGGCGUAAAGCGCGCGUAGGUGGUUUGUUAAGUUGGAUGUGAAAUCCCCGGGGCUCAACCUGGGAACUGCAUUCAAAACUGACUGACUAGAGUAUGGUAGAGGGUGUGGAAUUUCCUGUGUAGCGGUGAAAUGCGUAGAUAUAGGAAGGAACACCAGUGGCGAAGGCGACCACCUGGACUGAUACUGACACUGAGGUGCGAAAGCGUGGGGAGCGAAACAGGAUUAGAUACCCUGGUAGACUGUCA
RNAcentral lists this ribosomal RNA (475 nucleotides) under uncultured bacterium. RNAcentral's name for it is "bacterial SSU rRNA". It matches the Rfam family "Bacterial small subunit ribosomal RNA", at positions 335 to 802 of the family's 1533-position model. The record is from RNAcentral.